RNAcentral lists this ribosomal RNA (2496 nucleotides) under Triticum aestivum (bread wheat). Its description in RNAcentral is "partial small subunit ribosomal RNA". Lineage: Eukaryota; Viridiplantae; Streptophyta; Magnoliopsida; Poales; Poaceae. The record is from RNAcentral.
AUGUCGGACGACGAGGACUGCCGGACGACGGCGGCGCUGCUGGCGUCGACGUCGUCUAACCACCGGGCGGUGCUGCUCCACGGCAGCCUGGACAUCUGGAUCGACGAGGCGUGCAACCUCCCGAACAAGGACAUCCUGUCCAACACCAUGGGCGGCCUCCUCAAGAGCUGCACCUCCGACCCCGGCUCCAAGUCCACCAGCGACCCCUACGUCACCGUGCUGGUCGCCUCCGCCACGGUGGCGCGCACCUUCGUGAUCCAGGACGACGAGAACCCCAAGUGGCGGCAGCACUUCCUGGUGCCCGUGGCGCACGAGACCGCCGCGGUGAGCUUCGUCGUCAAGGACAGCGACGUGAUCGGGGCGGAGCUGAUCGGCGCCGUGGCCAUCCCCGCGGAGUCCCUCCUGGCCGGCGACCGCGUGGACGGCGUGUACCCGGUGCUGGAGUCGUCUGGGAAGCCGUGCCGGCCGGGCGCCACGCUGCGGAUGUCGGUGCAGUACGUGCCCGUGGCGAGGCUCACCAUGUACAGCCACGGCGUGACGCCGGGCCCGGACUUCCCCGGCGUGCCUAACACCUACUUCCCGCUCCGGCGCGGCGGGCGGGUGACGCUGUACCAGGAUGCGCACGUGCCCGGCGACGGGCAGUGCCUGCCGGAGAUCCGGCUCGGGAACGGGCAGCUCUACCGGCACGGGCAGUGCUGGCACGACGUGUACGACGCCAUGUCGCAGGCGAAGCAUCUCAUCUACAUCACCGGGUGGUCGGUGUUCCACACGAUCCGCCUGGUGCGCGACGGCGGCGACAAGGCGCGGCCGCUGGGCGAUCUGCUCAAGAAGAAGUCGCAGGAGGGGGUCCGGGUGCUGCUGCUCGUCUGGGACGACCCCACGUCCAGGAGCGUCCUUGGCAUCCAGAUGGAAGGUUACAUGGGCACACGAGAUGAGGAGACGCGUAGGUUUUUCAAGCAUUCUUCGGUUCAGAUACUGCUCUGCUCACGAUCUGCCGGGAAAAGGCACAGCUGGGUGAAGCAAAAGGAGACAGGAACUAUUUUUACCCACCAUCAGAAAACGGUGAUCGUCGACGCCGAUGCCGGCAACGGGAAGCGGAAGAUAGUCGCUUUCGUCGGAGGCCUUGAUCUAUGUGGUGGGAGAUACGACACUCCAAGGCACAAUCUGUUUCACACUCUUCACACGGUGCACAAGGAGGAUUAUUACAACCCAAACUUCGCGGUAACUGAUGAGCGCGGGCCGAGAGAACCAUGGCAUGAUUUGCAUUCCAAGAUCGACGGCCCGGCAGCAUUCGAUGUCCUGAAGAACUUUGAGGAGCGUUGGUCAAAAUCAUCCAAGCGCCACGGGUCCAAGAAAUUGUCGAAAUCAUGUAAUGACACGUUGCUCUGGAUCGAAAAGAUAUCUGAGAUCGCAGCUAUUGACGAUGAUGUAUACUCCAAUGACAAUGACACGGAGAGAUGGGAUGUUCAGAUUUUCCGAUCGAUCGACUCGAACUCCGUCAAGGCUUUUCCCAAGGAUCCACGAGAAGCAACCAUUCAGAAUCUUGUUUGCGGGAAAAAUGUACUAAUCGAUAUGAGCAUACACACAGCCUACGUUACCGCCAUCCGAGCAGCCCAACACUUCAUCUAUAUUGAAAAUCAGUAUUUCCUUGGCUCUUCAUUUCAAUGGGAUUCACAUAGAGAUCUUGGCGCGAAUAAUUUAAUUCCGAUCGAGGUAGCCCUGAAAAUUGCUGACAAGAUCUACGCGAACGAGAGAUUUUCGGCAUACAUAAUAAUUCCGAUGUGGCCUGAAGGCAACCCAACCGGUGCUCCUACACAGAGAAUUCUUUACUGGCAGAAGAAAACAAUGCAGAUGAUGUACGAGAUAAUCUACAAGGCAUUGAAAGACACGGGAUUGAAUGGUUCAUAUGACCCACAGGACUACCUGAAUUUCUUCUGCCUCGGCAACCGAGAAGCGGUGGAAAAUGCCGCUUUCUCCGAAGCAUUUUCACACACCAACCCUCAGGACCAAGCUAGGAAGAACAGGAGGUUCAUGGUGUACGUGCACUCCAAGGGCAUGAUCGUGGACGACGAGUACGUGAUCAUCGGGUCGGCCAACAUCAACCAGAGGUCCAUGGAGGGGACGAGGGACACCGAGAUCGCCAUGGGCGCGUACCAGCCCCACUACACCUGGUCCAACAUGUUCUCUGCUCCCCGCGGACAGAUCUACGGGUACAGGAUGUCGCUGUGGGCGGAGCACACCGGGGGCGUGGAGGCGGUCUUCGAGCGGCCGGACACGCUGGAGUGCGUGCGGCGGGUGCGGGGCAUCGGGGACGCCAACUGGAAGCGGUUCGUGGCGGAGGAGGUGACCGAGAUGCGGGGGCACCUCAUCAGGUACCCCGUCGCCGUCGAAUGGAACGGCAAGGUGGGGCCGCUGCAGGGGUGCGCCGCCUUCCCGGACGUCGGCGGCAACAUCUGCGGCUCCUUCUCCGGCAUCCAGGAGAACCUCACCAUAUGA